Molecule: microRNA precursor, 73 nt
Filed under: Otolemur garnettii (small-eared galago)
Lineage: Eukaryota; Metazoa; Chordata; Mammalia; Primates; Galagidae
Description: miRNA (ENSOGAG00000019256.1)
Source: RNAcentral
GGGGUGACCCACCAUUCUGAUUUGCCUGGGACUGAGGGCUUUCUAGGACACUGGAAUUGCAGUGGUAAAACUG